UGGACUGCUCACGGCACCGAUUCCGGCCAGAUGGGGUCGGGGGUCGUGACACCAACCCAAUCGGGCUCCCAAUUUGAACUCCCCCCAAAAAAAUUCUAAAAAACAGCAGAAAAAUUCAAGGCAAACAAAUCAAAACCCUAGCUUCCAAUUUCAUACCAAUACCAAUGGUUUGCAACUCUUCGGCCACUAUAGUUCUCCUGGCCCUCCGUCGCCUCUCCAACCUUUGUCAGAUUCUACAACAAAGUCCCUAAAUAUGGCAAAGGAAAAAUCAAAGGAGUCCCUAAAUCACCACCGGACCAAUCAAAGGAAAAAUAUGAAGCACAUGCAAGAGAUAUAUGCGCCACAACAAGCUUCAGGGAUUUCAGGUUUAAUUGAGACCCAAGGAAACAUUUGAAGAACAUGGUUCUUGGUCUCCCUCAACUCCCAGCUAAUGUGACACGAGAAAGCACACGGCUGCGCCCAACAAUGUUGUGGAGCGGUGUUAGGCCUUUUAGAUCUGGUCUUGUAUUUGCAACAGAACCUUGGAGUGGUGUUACGUCUGCAAUGGUUUAAACAGUUCCAAAGACGUCACCACAGGGAGCUAUCACCAGUUCUAGAAUCGGGGGAACUAGAAUCAGGCAAAGGCAAGAAAGAAAUGGAAGCAAAACAUUUCAGAUAGCUCGGAUCUCAUUGAUGUCGGGUGGUUGGUCAAUGAUUAAACUGUCCACAACAUGAAUCUGGUGGCUGGUUAUUGAUUUUGCUAUCAAAUAUUGGAGCAGUUCACAAUGGCAAAACAACUAGAUAUAAAUUUCCAGCACUUUCAAGUCUAAAAGCAGUGAGUAUAUGGAUUUGAAGACAACAACCUAGAAUUAGUUCUUAGUUUAUGUGU
Molecule: long non-coding RNA, 868 nt
Organism: Helianthus annuus (common sunflower)
Lineage: Eukaryota; Viridiplantae; Streptophyta; Magnoliopsida; Asterales; Asteraceae
Exons: 4
Source: RefSeq, a predicted model, not a curated record